AUAACCUUCUGUCGGUCUACCGAGCAAUAUCGCCCGCUCGGUGGAAGAUUUUCCCUUGGUCGU
Molecule: non-coding RNA, 63 nt
Organism: Bombyx mori (domestic silkworm)
Lineage: Eukaryota; Metazoa; Arthropoda; Insecta; Lepidoptera; Bombycidae
Source: Rfam